CCUACGGGAGGCAGCAGUCGAGAAUCAUUCACAAUGGGGGAAACCCUGAUGGUGCGACGCCGCGUGGGGGAAUGAAGGUCUUCGGAUUGUACACCCCUGUCAUGUGGGAGCAAAUUAAAAAGAUAGUACCACAAGAGGAAGAGACGGCUAACUCUGUGCCAGCAGCCGCGGUAAUACAGAGGUCUCAAGCGUUGUUCGGAAUCACUGGGCGUCAAGCGUGCGUAGGCUGUUUCGUAAGUCGUGUGUGAAAGGCGCGGGCUCAACCCGCGGACGGCACAUGAUACUGCGAGACUAGAGUAAUGGAGGGGGAACCGGAAUUCGCGGUGUAGCAGUGAAAUGCGUAGAUAUCGAGAGGAACACUCGUGGCGAAGGCGGGUUCCUGGACAUUAACUGACGCUGAGGCACGAAGGCCAGGGGAGCGAAAGGGAUUAGAUACCCCUGUAGUC
This 446-nucleotide ribosomal RNA is filed under the name uncultured bacterium. RNAcentral describes it as "partial 16S ribosomal RNA". It matches the Rfam family "Bacterial small subunit ribosomal RNA", at positions 338 to 795 of the family's 1533-position model. The record is from RNAcentral.